Long non-coding RNA from Cannabis sativa, 640 nucleotides. RefSeq lists it as uncharacterized. NCBI's taxonomy places the organism in Eukaryota, Viridiplantae, Streptophyta, Magnoliopsida, Rosales, Cannabaceae. The record is from RefSeq and is a predicted model, not a curated record. The transcript is spliced from 2 exons.
AGAAUAAGUAUGUUUUUCUUAAGAUUGAAAGCACUUUCUUUCUUAUUCGAUACUCAUCAAAUUUACAUUAAGGCUUACUCCACUUAAACCGUAGUGAAUCACCUCAAACAUGAAGACCAUCAUAUAAUUAGUUCUUUGAGAUUGGAAUCUUAGAACUCAUUUUAUGUUCCUUCACAUUGCAAAGAUUGGAGUCAGCCACCACUCAAGAACAGGAGCAUCAAAGUUGACGUCAUUAAGGUUUGAAAUUCCACACUAAGAUUCAUUAAAGGUUGACGUCAAUCAGAGUUGUAUUCUCCAUAAUUCAAGACUUACUGAGAUCAUUCUCAUUCUUUAUCUCUGUACUUGGUUAUUAAGGUAGUAGUGACGAGAUAACAAGUCUUAAGCAGCGGGAUUUGAGGUAAAGAAAUUAAGUAGUUGUUAUGUGUUGAACUGCAUAAUUUAAAUUAUUUGUCUAUUGAAAUACUAUUUGUGAUGUAUUAUUAUGAAUGUGUAUAUAGUACUGAGAAUGUGUGGUAUGGACACAAUAUGAGUUUGUAAAUCGACAUAUAUUAUGGUUGAUACAAUUUGUAUGUUGUAUGUUGUAUGAUGUAUGUGGUGUGUUGUAUGUUGUAUGUUGUGUGCUAACGUCUCAGGUACAAAU